GAGGUUCACAGGUGCUGCUCCAUAACUAAACUGUGGAGCUCCUGUUUUAAUAUCUCCUAUGGUGACUUGAACAUCAUCUUCAUCAUCAUCGCUAUCACUAUCACUGUCAUCCUCAGCCUCAGUCACCUUCGUUUUCACAACGCCAUUUUCUGCAGCCUCCUCUUCAUUUCCAGGUGGGGGUGGAGCACUAGUUUUUUCUUCUUCUGGUCUCUCUGCUUCAUUUUCAUCGCCGUAGAGCCACUCCUCCUCCUCGUCCCCGGCGGCCCCGCCGAGGUCCGUGGACAGCCGCUCCACCUCGCCGGUAGACAUGGCCGCCUCCCGCGGGACGCCAGCGCCCGGACCGGGCUCCGCGGCCUCUUCCCCGCUCGGCGGCCCCACCUCUCCGGGCCUCCGCGGGUACCCCGGGCGGCAGACGGGCAGCGCGAUGACCACCAGGCCCUGCCCCGCCGACCCGCUCUCGGAGGAACCGCCGCCGCCUGCUCGGCGCUUCCCCUCCCCCGCCGAGUGAGUGACACGCACAGGAAGCGGGCCCGGCCCGGCCCCGCGGCGCCCUGGGCACGGGCAUGCGGGGGGCGGCCCGGCGGCGCCCGGCCGCGCGGGGCCGGGACGGGGCCGACUCAGCACCCAACCCAGGGACCGCCUUCCGAGCCGUGCUCGGCCGGCCGCUCCUCUCCAGCCCCAAGCUCACCUGGGCUCUGCCGGCCCGACAGCCGCCCUCCGUGCCCCGGGCUGCCCCUCGCUUCUCCGCGUCCGUGCGCCUCUGCAUCCCCAGAUGCCCGGCUGUCCCACCGGCACGCAGAGUGCGGUCCUCUUCAGGGACAUCUUCAGAAGAAGGACUCGGCCGAGCAUCCAUGCAGCCCAGCAUCCCGCUUCUACUGGCGGCUGAAGGCAGCUGCCGGGGGAGCGUAACCGCAGCGCUGCCUGUGCUGUGCGCUGCCCCGGCGCUCGGCUCAGGGGCUCUCUCAGCUGGAGGCAGUGUUUUAGGCUGAGCAGCGGGAAGUUGCGAGUCAUUUUUAUUGAUGUUCUCGCUUCUCGGCUGUGAAGGCUGCUUAACGACAGCAAGAUUCCUUAUAAAAUUUAAGUACCAACAUCUGUGAAAACAAGUUUUGACCACUUGUGUGUACACACGGAGCAUUCAACACCUUGAGGUGGCUGUGAAGAGUGGAAAAAAAAGGCCCUUUUUCACAGCGGGACAGCCUGUGAAAAAUAGAAGAGAGGGCUCAACUGUGUCAUAAGCAUUCCACAGCUCGGGGUGGGGCAGCCUGUUCUUCAAAUUGUCUGCACUGAGACAACAGAGAAGCAUUUGGAAGUUGUGUACAGGUCAUGCAAUAUAUGGUGUAAUUGGAUAGAUGUCCACAAAGGUGUUUUUGGCAGUAAGUAAAUAAAAUUGUAGACACUUGUUUAUCGUAAAGUGAGUUUGUAUCGCAGUAUCUCUUCUUGGACAUCAGCGUUGUUCUGUUUUCAUCCCUGUUUUGUUUACUCAGCCUUUUAACACACUUCUAUUGCUGGCCCUGUGUUAAAGGAAGCAGGUAGAAUUCUUUGUAUUUUUGUUCCUUUGAUUAUGCAGAUUGAAAAAGAAAAGAAAAACAUGGAAGAGAAAUCAGGAAGAGGUGCAGAACAUAAAAUCUCUUUAACAGGAAAAUAGAGCUUCUCAGUACAAUAUUACUCAUAGGAGGCCUUUAAAUGGACAUCACAUGGAGCUAUUUGUCAAGCAAAAAUCUGUCUGAAAAAAAUCAUCCCAACCAGCUUGACCAGUGGAAGCUGCACUACAAUACCAAGUCCUGACAACUGCUGCCAGCCCUCCUCCACUCCCACGAAUUUCUUUGGCUGCCUUUGGCUAUGGUUGGGCAAAAGGGAUCUCUGCCUACUUCCUGCGUUGCUUCUAAGGACAAAGUGCCAGGCUGGAUGUCCUUCUAACUUCUGCCCUAUGUGGUAAAAGCUCCCGUCAGUCUCAGCCUUUGGAAGGAACCUUGCCGUUUCUCCUUACUGCUGCACAGCAGAGCAGCAGUUGGGGCCUAAAACAAGGCUUCUCCCCAGGACCCACGUAGUUUGAGGACAGUUUGAGGACAGAAGAAAGCCUCUGUGAGCUGCACAAACAUCUUGACUCACUGGUUAUAUACCAGAAACUCAUAACAAGACUUCAAGUUCACAGGAAGCUGUUAAAACAGAUUUAUUUUUUUCUAUUACAGGUGUAAAUUUGAACAUGUGAUAAAAUAAGCCAUUAAACUACAUACAUACAUUUGUUUUGCAACUUAGCCACUGUGCUUUAUGCUUAUUAAUUUCAUUUUGUCUUCUGGGCAGUAAUCUUUCUCUUAACAUAUGCAGAACUUGUACAGUACUUUUAAAGUUAAAAAAGCUAUUUAUUUUCUUAAAAGAGUUUUUUUUUUUUUUGACAAUAUAACUGAAGAUAUUUAGACUUAAGAAAUAAUAUAAUAACUCCAAAGAGUUGUACAAGCCAAGAAUAUUGAGCUUUCAUCUGUAGCACUCAGGCAUGAAAUGAAUGCUCAGAGAUGCAUCAUCUCUAAGAUCAUUCAGUCUGGGAGGAGGGUGAUUCUGCUUGUGUAUAAACCCAGGGGUGUGGUGGUUAUCCAUCCCCAGUCCCUUCUUAGCAAUCAUUUUUCAAAUCCAAAUAGUCCAGAAAUCUAUUAGCUUACAUAUUUUUAGCAUAAUGAAGUUGUAUGGCCUAACUGGGUUUGGAACAGCCUAUAGGUAAGUCUGAGUUUGGAAAAAGAACAAAUUCACAAGGGUGGCAGUAUGCAUGGAACAGAUGGAAAGGAGAUAAUUUCAUUACUGGAAACCUAGUGAUUCUACCCAAGUUGUGAUGCUCACUGUUAUGAAAUCAGCUGAUCCAGCUCGAGACCUAGGAAGACCAGAGGGAGGUGACUGUCCCCCUCUACUCGGCUCUUGUGAGGCCCCAUCUGGAGUACUGCAUCCAGGCCUGGGGCCCCCAGUACAGGAAGGACGUGGAGCUCUUAGAGUGGGUCCAGAGGAGGGCCACUAAGAUGAUCAGAGGGCUGGAGCACCUCUCCUUUGAGAAAAGGCUGAGGGAGCUGAGAUUGCUUAGAUUGGAGAAGAGAAGGCUCUGGGGAGACCUCAUUGUGGCCUUCCAAUACUUGAAGGGAGCAUAUAAACAGGAGGGAGAAUAGCUGUUUACAAGGGUGGAUAUGAUAGGAUGAGGGGGAAUGGUCUAAAACUGAGACAGGGGAGGUUUAGGUUAGAUAUUAGGAGGAAGUUUUUCACACAGAGGGUGGUGACGCACUGGAACAGGUUGCCCCAGAAGGUUGUGGAUGCCCCAUCCCUGGAGGCAUUCAAGGCCAGGCUGGAUGUGGCUCUGGGCAGCCUGGUCUGGUGGUUGGUAACCCUGCACGUAGCAGGGGGGUUGAAACCAGAUGAUCACUGUGGUCCUUUCCAACCCAGGCCAUUCAAUGAUUCUAUGAUAUAUCACUUACCUUUCUGUAAUUGCUGGUAAUCCCAUGAUGUCAGAAAAAGUAUCCCAGUUCUGCACUAAGGGGGUUGCCUAGGUGAAAUACUACAUGGAAGGCAGAUUUUUGAGGGAACUGUCCAUUCUCCAGGGAGAAACAACUGAAGCAUAGAUGGAUAUUUUUGCAUUUGUUCUUGUUACCUUCAUAAUUGAGAAUAAGAGCUUUUUAAAGGAAAAACAAAAUUUGUCAAAUGUUCCCAACUGCAUGUAAUAAAAGUUGGAUACAAUAAAAGAGUAGUUGUUGUUGCUUGCUCAUGGAAUGCUGGGUGUGUUCCUGUUAACAUAAGAAACACAGCAGUCUAGGGAAGGCAGGGUAAUGGAAGUUUCACACUCCCAACACUGUAUGUUUGCACAGAGCACUGAAUUGCUUUAAUACU
Molecule: long non-coding RNA, 3858 nt
Filed under: Gallus gallus (chicken)
Lineage: Eukaryota; Metazoa; Chordata; Aves; Galliformes; Phasianidae
Source: RNAcentral